RNAcentral lists this unclassified non-coding RNA (3877 nucleotides) under Thrips palmi. Its description in RNAcentral is "sH2B adapter protein 1, transcript variant X4". Lineage: Eukaryota; Metazoa; Arthropoda; Insecta; Thysanoptera; Thripidae. The record is from RNAcentral.
AAGUUACUAGUCACAUCAGGGUCACAAGGGUCACGCUAUUUCGCGAGUUGAGUUACGCGCGCCCAGAGCCAGAGCAGAAGACUUCCGAAAACAAGUGAGGGUUUGUUAUGUUCCCGGCGGCCAUUUUCCUUCUUUCCGUUCAUUUCUUCGAUACCAACCACAACACCUAACAAAUUCAAGUUGAUUAGUUUUUUGUUUCUCUGCAUGUUGCGCUCAAUUACUGUGACAAAGGCGUAUAUAACAAAUAAUCUGGUUAUUUUAAAUACCCCGGAGAAAAUUUCCUUGCAUUCUCUAAUUUCAUAACGAAUACCUGUAUAUUUUUCUUAUGUUGGACAAACAAUCAGUAAUGUUUACGUGCCAUCAUAAAAAGCACUUUCGAGAGAUUGUUUUUGCGUCUUCGCACGAAUUGUUUGAAUUUUAAGACUAUUUUCUGCCGAGAGCAAGAUUUUUCUCAAAAUCAGGCUUUUUAUGUGGACACAAAUGCAUUAUCAGUGAAGAAUAGUCCUUCUAGAUUUGGACAUUAUUCAGUUCUAACCUUCCUUGUGGAAAGGUUAGGGUUAAGUUCUUUUCUGCUUGUGUGUAAACUGAAGAGAAAUCUCAUCGCAGGCAGUUUUAUCACUGGUGCUUUGUAUUGAAGAAAGCUUUGGAGAUUUUUACUGCUAAAUAUGAUACUUGAGUGAAGUUUUAGUGGUGUUCUGAACAAAUCCGUGUGGUGCAAUGGCUUCAGUCAGCCCGGAAUCAAACUGGGUGGAAUUUUGUGAUAAACAUGCCAAGUCCGCCGCUGCUGACUUUGCCAAUGCAUUCAGCUCCUACAACAGCAGCCACAUGUCUGACACUGCGCGCCACCAUGUAUCCCACAAGGAGUUCCUCCGCAAAUUUAUUGACUGCUUCCAAGAGCAUUUUGAGGCGGAGUGUGGUUCUCAGAAUGCGGCUGCUGGCAAGAGUCUAGCCAAUGGAACCCUAGGACAUGAUGAUAUGUCGGACUAUUCUGAACAUGACGCAGAGUCACCGUCCCCAAAACCUCAACCAAAGCCUUUCUUCCGCCGGUUGUCAUUUAAAGGUCUUAAGAAGGGCAAGGCCUUCUUCCAGAAACAGAAUUCAGAUGAGGUUGAACUUUCACACUCCCAUAGUGAUAAAAAAGACAAACAUUCCAAGACCAAACUUGCCAAAAUUGUUGUUGAGUGCCGGAAAGAAGGCAUCGUCAAUUAUCUUAGUGGUGAAAAUCUUGAUGGAACUGGGAAAUGGGACAGAUGCCGUCUUGCCCUCGUCAAAACAGUCAGUGGUUACAUGCUUGAGUUCUACUCACCUCCAAAGGCCCCCAAACCAAGAAGUGGGGUAUUUUGUUUUCUUAUACUAGAGGCAAGAGAGACAACAGCUCUUGAAAUGCCUGAUAAGGAAAACACUUUUGUCUUGAAGGCUGAGAAUCAGCAAGAGUAUGUGAUUGAGGCCCAUGAUACUGAUGAUAUGAAGUCAUGGCUAGCCACCAUCAAAUACUGCAUGAGAUCAACCACACAACCUGUACCGGAGCAUCCGGAAGCCAACUCUCGCCAAGGAGGCCCAAGUAACAGAGCAACUGCACCAUCACUUGAUGGUGACAAUCUAGAGCAUCCUCCAGAACUACCCCCUAGAGUUGUUGCAGCUAGUGGAGGUCGAUCUACUGCAGAAACCACUGCAGGAUUGAGAUUAUCUAGUAAUAGUAAUUUUGACAUCUGUUCCUCACGCACUGAUAUUGAGACAACAGGUGAAACGGAGGCCGAUUUAUCUUGGAUACUUAGGGAUUACCCUUGGUUCCAUGGAACUUUGCCUCGCUCUGAAGCAGCACAUUUAGUCUUACAUGAAGGCUCCACUGGUCAUGGGGUUUUCCUAGUUCGCCAAAGUGAAACUCGUAAGGGAGAAUUUGUCCUAACUUUCAAUUUUCAAGGAAGAGCAAAGCAUUUGAGAAUGACACUUAAUGAUCAAGGUCAGUGCAGAGUUCAGCACCUUUGGUUCCCUGCAAUAUUUGAGAUGCUAGAACACUUCCGGGAGCAUCCUAUACCUUUGGAAUCCGGUGGAACAGCCGAUGUUACAUUAACGGACUAUAUUGUGUCUGCAACUGGGCACACAGCACCAAACGUUUCUUCAAGUGCAAGAGGACAAACAUCAUCUACUCCUGCAUCUACACCAACAUUAGUGCCCUCUUCUCUUAACACCACUCCAGUGGAUUCAAGGCCACGCACUGUGGCAAUGUCAGAGGGAAGGGAGGUGAGUCAUGGAGCGUAUUGCUAAGCUUGUUUAUUGCUAUUCAAUACAGCCUUUAUAAGACUUAAAUGAGUAGUUAAUAAUUAGAGAGCCUAAAACAAUUAGCUAUAAAUAGGUUUCAAUUAAUCUUCUCUGGUUUGGAAAAAAAGUAUUUGAGCUGAAUUAUAAUUUUUUGUGUGCUGCAAAUAUGUAAGAAAAGAUGAAUUAUUGGCCAUCAAUUGUCUUUCCACCACAUCCCUUCAAAAUUUUUGCUUUUGUCUAAAUUUUACAAUUGAUAAAUGGUCAUUAAACAAUCUGCUUUUCAUCUUUGUAGCUUUUCAUGACCUUACCUGUUCAAAAAAUGGUUCGUUGAAUGCUUGGCAAUAUAGUGUAGUUUAUGUUUAUUGCUCUAUGAUUUAUAAGUGAUGCUCUAGUUCUGCUGCUCCUCUCGAAUUUCGCCUGCAUGUUAAGCAGAAAUGUACAAUAUCUCUUGGGGUCUCUAAUUUCUCUAGUAAAAAUGAUUUGUGUAAGUUUGAGGAGGCACAUCUUGCUUUGUUGGGCAAGAUUUGAACUGAUAUUUGCUAAUGUGUCUAAUCAAAUAUUUUUAAAAGGGGUGUUUCCUUAAUGGUAGUUUUUACCAUUGUUAGAGAUCUCAUUUGUUGUGUUUCUUCAUGUUCAUUUGGUCUUCAAUUGAGGAAGACAAACUGUGGUCUUAAAGUGAUUGUGCAUGUGUGCUGUCACUUUGCUUGGAUAAGACUCUUUGUUUUUGUGUAAAGUGCAUGUCUGACUGAAAUAUUUUGUUCAUACUUGUUGCCUGCUGAGAACUUAAGCAUAUUUAUUAUUCAUGGAUGCUUCUAACAAUUAAUUAUUAACAAUAAAAUGGUCGUAGCUGCAGGUGUUUCAAUGCUUUUUGUGGCUUUUUGUUUUUAAGUCUGGAUUUAAAUUUUGUAGCUGGCAAGGGUAUGCUGCUUUUUAACUACAUUUUUAAUGAAAAAUUCUUUUUGAAUAUUGGGUAAAAGUGUUUUAAGUGAUAAUGCUGGUAAGUGUUAUUGCACAUUUUUAGGCUGUGAUGUGUUCCUUGUUAUUGCUGCAAGUAAAAAGAAAAAUAUAACUAAGUAAGCUGUUAACUGAUGUUUGUGUUAUAACAGUAUUUCUUAAAAGGCAUCUCUAUUGUUCCAUCCAAUUCUUACCAUUACUCAUGACACAUAGUAAUUUAUAUUGUUUUGCACUGAAAAGAACAUUCUUUUCUGUCCUGAGGUUUGCAAAACACUAAGUACGUGUACAUUCAAUGACAAAACUUCAAUGUGUCAGCUGCCAAUGAAAAGUCUGAUGUCGGUUUGAUUACAGAAGCAAGUAGACUGCGUUGCCCAUUUACCCAUUAUUUAAAUCGUUGUAUUGAUAAGCUUUGCACCCUUUUUUUUUUUUGCAUUUGUUUCUCUAUUAAUUGUAUGUAUUGAUGUAUCGCAUUUUUGUAGGUGUGACGCAUUGGCAGUUGGGUUGCUAACAGCACAUUGACUCAACUUUUUGCUUUGUGGUGGUGCUAGGGGGCUCCAUUCGCACACGUACUGAAUCAUUAGAGCAAAUUCCUAGUCGUCAAAACCAGGGCACAGGGCGAGCUGUGGAAAACACCUACAGUUUUGUGUAAGGUUGUUACUUGUGA